Molecule: transfer RNA, 81 nt
Filed under: Arthroderma uncinatum
Lineage: Eukaryota; Fungi; Ascomycota; Eurotiomycetes; Onygenales; Arthrodermataceae
Description: tRNA-Leu
Rfam family: tRNA
About the family: Transfer RNA (tRNA) molecules are approximately 80 nucleotides in length.
Source: RNAcentral
GUCCGAGUGCUGAAAAUGGUAGACAGGAUAAGCUUAAGUUUUAUUGAUAGAAUCGUGUGGGUUCAAAUCCCUCCUCGGAUA